This 1161-nucleotide ribosomal RNA is filed under the name Triticum aestivum (bread wheat). Its description in RNAcentral is "partial small subunit ribosomal RNA". Lineage: Eukaryota; Viridiplantae; Streptophyta; Magnoliopsida; Poales; Poaceae. The record is from RNAcentral.
AUGGUGGGGGUGCUGUCGAAUCGGGUGGACCGGGAGGCCCUCGCCGCCGGGGAUCACAUCUACUCGUGGAGAACCGCCUACAUCUACGCCCACCACGGGAUAUAUGCUGGAGAUGGAAUGGUUAUCCAUUUUACGAGAGCGGCUGGACAUGAAAUUGGAACAGGAACAUUCUUAGACAAGUUUCUGUUCAGCUCAUCGCCGACUACGGCAGAUGGCCCUCCUUGCGAGAAAUGUGGGCACCUCAUCAAGCCUCAGGGCGUCAUAAUGUCCUGUCUCGAUUGCUUCCUGGACGGGGGCAGUCUCUACCUCUUCGACUAUGCUGUGUCGCCCCCUUUCUUCCUCGCCAAAGCACGUGGAGGAACGUGCACUAUGGCACCCUCUGACGCUGCACUUGUUGUCCACCGUGCCAAACACCUCCUCAACAAUGGCUUUGGCAUGUAUAGCCUGUUUAAGAACAACUGUGAGGACUUCGCGAUAUACUGCAAGACGGAACUGCUCGUCGAGACUGCUUACAGCGUUGGGCGCAGUGGGCAGCUGGCGUCCCUGACGGCUGCUUUCAGCGCGGUGGCUUCUUCGCCGCUGCGUUUCCUGACAACUAGUGCUAGCGGUCUGGCAAUUGUGACAAGCGGCAUGUACUGCGUGGGGCGAUAUGUGUCAGACAUGGGUGUUCGCCGUGAUGUGAUCAAGGUGCCUGUGGAAAGGCUUGUAGAGCACUGGGUGAACAAUGUCACUCCUGCUCUUCCUCAAGGGGCCACACAGCCGGAGACGGCAACGCCAGGAGGCUCGCCGCUGCUACCAGGGGAAGGGGAGCUUGCUAAAAUGGCAACACCAGGAGGCUCGCUGGAGCUACCAGGGGAAGGGGAGCUUGCUAAAACGGCAACACCUGGAGGCUCGCCGGAGCUACCAGGGGAAGGGGAGCUUGCUAAAAUGGCAACACCAGGAGGCUUUCCGGAGCUACCAGGGGAAGGGGAGCUUGCUAAAACGGCAACACCAGGAGGCUCGCUGGAGCUACCAGGGGAAGGCGAGCUUGCUAAAACGGCAACACCAGGAAGCUCGCCGGAGCUACUAGGGGAAGGUGAGCUUGCUAAAGCGGCAACACCAGGAGGCUCGCCAGAGUUACCAGGGGAAGGGGGACUCGCUAAAAAGGACAGCCGUAUUUAG